GCUAGCCGGAAGUUACUCCCGUAUUCGUGACGUGUACUUGUAACUACUAUUUGCAGUUGCUGCUGACAUCAAAUUCCAUACUCAAAUGCGGCUAGAGUUUGCUGAUAAAUUAUAGCCACGUUCAGUACCAUAGGAAAGGGAUCGUGAUACGACCUACAAAAAUGACAACCAUGUUCGCAGACACUAUUCUUAUUGUUUUCAUCUCUGUUUGCACAGCUCUGUUAGCUGAGGGUAUGUAACUAACGUUACAGUAGCUAGCCAACGUUAAUUUUAGCUAAGCUAUCUGGCUGACUUUAGCUAGCUACCUGAUACUGACUUUCUAAUUUUGGCUAGCAACCAUCAAACAUAUUCGUGAUGUAUUUUAUUUGGUUAACGCUGAGUGCUGUAGAUGUUUUGUCAUUUGGAAACCUGUUUAAUCCGGGGCAUGAGUAGCACGACGCUUCUUAGCUUUGGGACACAACAUUGGGAAUUACAUGGGUGUUGGUGUAUCGUACUGCAAAGUACAAGAGUCUGAAGGCAGAGGUGGAAAAGCAAAGCAAGAAAUUGGAGAAGAAGAAGGAAACCAUUACAGAAUCUGCAGGACGUCAACAGAAGAAGAAGAUUGAGAGACAAGAGGAGAAACUGAAGAACAACAACAGAGAUCUAUCCAUGGUACGAAUGAAGUCCAUGUUCGCCAUUGGCUUCUGUUUCACAGCGUUGAUGGGAAUGUUCAACUCCAUCUUUGAUGGAAGGGUGGUGGCCAAACUGCCAUUCGUCCCACUGUCCUACAUUCAGGGUCUUUCCCAUCGCAACCUUUUGGGCGAGGACUUCACUGACUGCUCAUUCAUCUUCCUGUACAUUCUCUGCACCAUGUCCAUCAGACAGAACAUCCAGAAGAUGCUGGGUCUGGCCCCCUCCAGAGCUGCCACCAAGCAGGCUGGAGGUUUCUUGGGACCCCCUCCCCAGGCAGCUAAGUUCUCCUAAGAACCAAGCAUAUGGGUGGCCUUCCAGGCUGACUACAUUACAUUACAGUCCAAUGGUUGUGUACCAUGUCAUCGAGUGUGCAGCCGAGCAUCAGAUCCUAUAUCAUAUGAUGUGAUUUUUGCAAUGUAGUCUGCUUAGAAUGCGUCUUCAGUCCUAUUUCUACACUGUGACUGUCUGGCCACAGAGAGAAGGGAGAGGACAGCCCCCUCAUCUGUACAGAGAAUGACAUUGCUGUCACAACGAUGGAUGGGGCGACUCUUUGUAUACAUUGAAUACCAUCAGCAGCUACUGUAUCAUUCAUUCAUUACCUGUACCCAUUAUUUCAUUGAAGUUUGUAGUGGUAGUACCUGGUUUGACCCAUUUUCCUUAUUUUGAUGCUUUAAGUUUUAGUUAGAUUAGUUUGACAUUAAAGUAGCUAUGAUUGUGAGUGCUAAUGAUUUACAAAAUGUUACAAAAGUGUGAAAUAUAUCCUGUUUAUUUUCAGAUAAACAUUGUGAUAAGAUGCUAAACAAAAAUCGUAUGAGAUUGGAAUAAAUUAAGCAGACCUGGGAGUGGAUUGGCUGUUUGGUUCAUCAGUACAUUGUGAUUGCCUGGCUCUGUAGUAUUUCAUUUCUUACUUAAUGAAUAAAUGUUUUAUCAAAUUUUA
RNA transcript from Oncorhynchus kisutch (coho salmon), 1609 nucleotides. It is a transcript of the gene named transmembrane and coiled-coil domains 1, with no coding region annotated. The transcript is spliced from 7 exons. NCBI's taxonomy places the organism in Eukaryota, Metazoa, Chordata, Actinopteri, Salmoniformes, Salmonidae. The record is from RefSeq and is a predicted model, not a curated record.